This 940-nucleotide ribosomal RNA is filed under the name uncultured Bacillota bacterium. Its description in RNAcentral is "bacterial SSU rRNA". It matches the Rfam family "Bacterial small subunit ribosomal RNA", at positions 1 to 917 of the family's 1533-position model. Lineage: Bacteria; Bacillati; Bacillota. The record is from RNAcentral.
UGGAUCCAGACUUUGAUCCUGGCUCAGGACGAACGCUGGCGGCGUGCCUAACACAUGCAAGUCGAACGGGGUGUUUAUUUCGGUAAACACCAAGUGGCGAACGGGUGAGUAACGCGUAAGCAAUCUACCUUCAAGAUGGGGACAACACUUCGAAAGGGGUGCUAAUACCGAAUGAAUGUAAGAGUAUCGCAUGAGACACUUACUAAAGGAGGCCUCUGACAUAAGCUUCCGCUUGAAGAUGAGCUUGCGUCUGAUUAGCUAGUUGGUGAGGGUAAAGGCCCACCAAGGCGACGAUCAGUAGCCGGUCUGAGAGGAUGAACGGCCACAUUGGGACUGAGACACGGCCCAGACUCCUACGGGAGGCAGCAGUGGGGAAUCUUCCGCAAUGGGCGAAAGCCUGACGGAGCAACGCCGCGUGAACGAUGAAGGUCUUAGGAUCGUAAAGUUCUGCUGUUAGGGACGAAGGGUAAGAAUCAUAAUAAGGUUUUUAUUUGACGGUACCUAACGAGGAAGCCACGGCUAACUACGUGCCAGCAGCCGCGGUAAUACGUAGGCGGCAAGCGUUGUCCGGAAUUAUUGGGCGUAAAGGGAGCGCAGGCGGGAAACUAAGCGGAUCUUAAAAGUGCGGGGCUCAACCCCGUGAUGGGGUCCGAACUGGUUUUCUUGAGUGCAAGAGAGGAAAGCGGAAUUCCCAGUGUAGCGGUGAAAUGCGUAGAUAUUGGGAAGAACACCAGUGGCGAAGGCGGCUUUCUGGACUGUAACUGACGCUGAGGCUCGAAAGCUAGGGUAGCGAACGGGAUUAGAUACCCCGGUAGUCCUAGCCGUAAACGAUGGAUACUAGGUGUGGGAGGUAUCGACUCCUUCCGUGCCGGAGUUAACGCAAUAAGUAUCCCGCCUGGGGAGUACGGCCGCAAGGUUGCAACUCAAAGGAAUUGACGGA